RNAcentral lists this long non-coding RNA (2462 nucleotides) under Sarcophilus harrisii (Tasmanian devil). RNAcentral's name for it is "lncRNA (ENSSHAG00000029183.1)". The record is from RNAcentral. Lineage: Eukaryota; Metazoa; Chordata; Mammalia; Dasyuromorphia; Dasyuridae.
AAUACAAAUAAAUUCAGAGUAUUAACCCUAUAUCUUUCUUACGUUUUUGGGCUUCUUUUUCUAGAGGAGGUUCACAUUGCUUCUGGGGGCCUGGAUUUUCUACUUCGGGCCCACUUCCAGCUGCAACUCUUGUGGAACCUAACUUAUUUAGAGUCCUGAGCAAGGAUUUGCCAACAUCACUCCUUUAGUCAAACAGGAGACAUUUGAUAUGAUAUUGGUUCAUAUAUGAUAACUUGAAUUGGCAAAUACAUGCAAUAUUGGAUUUAUGUAAACUUUAUGAAGAAAAGAGCCAAGAAGUACAAAAAUGCAGUUUGAAAUUAGGUGUUCAAAACACAAAAUUAAAAAAAAUAAACCUGAAGGCUACAAGAUACGUCUUCUACUAUGUGUGAUUUUGUGAAAAAUUCACUUAUCCUCAUAGUUGUAAAUAUAGAGAAUAAAAAAGAAAAUUACCAUCAGUGUUUUCUGCAGCAGAAGAGGUUCACAUUGCUUCUGGGGGCCUGGAUUUUCUACUUCAGGCCCACUUCCAGCUGCAGCUCUUGUGGAACCUAACUUAUUUAGAGUCCUGAGCAAGGAUUUGCCAACAUCACUCCUUUAGUCAAACAGGAGACACUUGAUAUGAUAUUCGUUCAUGUAUGAUAACGAAUUGGGGAACACAUGCAAUAUUGGAUUCAUGUUACUUCAUGAAGCAAAGAGCCAAGAAAUACAAAAAUGCAGUUUGAAAUUGGGUGUUCAAAACACAAAAUUAAAAAAAUAAACCUGAAGACUACAAGAUAUAUCUUCUAUUAUGUGUGAUUUUGUGAAAAAUUCACUUAUCCUCAUAGUUGUACAUAUAGAGAAUAAAAAAGAAAAUUACCAUCAGUGUUUUCUGCAGCACUUAAAUCAACUUUUCCCAUAACUUCUGUAAGGGAAAUGGGGAGAAAGUGGGAAAAGUUAAUAUGAAUACCGAAAACUCCCUAAGUAUAUAUUUUUUUCCUUCCUAAAUUGUGGAAUUAUCAACUUUACCUAAUUUUUGUUUUGACUUGACUACUUUCUCUGAUUCUUGGCUUGUGGAAGGAUCUUUCAUGGGAAGACCACAUUGACUAGGCUAUGAAACAAGAUAAUUUAAUAAAAAAAAGUUGCAUAGAGAGUUUUCAGUACAUAUCAGAAAAUAAAUGAAAAGUUACCUUCACAUUACGAUUUUUCCCUGGAUGAUCUAAGAAAAGGACAAAAGUUUUAUCAUCAAUGAUAAUUAAACAACAAAAUUCAAUUACAAUAUCAUGCAAAAUAAAUAGGUUUAUUAGUUGCCAAUAUAGGACUUGUAGAAUCCUAUUCAAUAUUAUAUGUCUUAGAUGGCAUUUUUCCUGACUGACUAAUUAAAAUUAACUGUUAACACUGGACUUAAAAGAAGAAAAUAAUAUUGGCCCAACAUGGAAUUCAUAUUGGAUUCAUGUGACUUCAUGAAGAAAAGAAAGGAGCCAAGGAGUACAAAAAUGCAGUUUGAAAUUUGGUGUUCAAAACACAAAAUUAAAAAAUAAACCUGAAGACUAAAAGAUACGUCUUCUAUUAUGUGUGAUUUUGUGAAAAAUUCACUUAUCCUCAUAGUUGUAAAUAUAGAGAAUAAAAAAGAAAAUUACCAUCAGUGUCUUCUGUAGCACUUAAAUCAACUUUUUCCAUAAAAGCUUUAAUGGAAAUUGGCAGAAAGUGAGAAAAGGAAAUAUGAAUACUGAAAAGUCCCUAAGUAUAUUUCUUUUCCUUCUAAAUUAUGGAAUUAUCAACUUUACCUAAUUUUAGUUUUGGCUUGACUACUUUUUCUGAUUCUUGGCUUGUGGAAGGAUCUUUCAUUGGAAGACCGCAUUGACUAGGCUAUGAAAAAAGAUAAUUCAAUAACAAAAAGUUGCAUAGAAAGUUUUCAGUACAUAGCAGAAAAUAAAUGAAAAGUACCAAGGUUAUUACCUUCACAUUAGGAUUUUUCUCUGGAUGAUCUAAGAAAAGGACAAAAGUUUUAUCAUCAAUGAUAAUUAAACAACAAAAUUCAAUUACAAUAUCAUGCAAAAUAAAUAGGUUUAUUAGUUGCCAAUAUAGGACUUGUAGAAUCCUAUUCAAUAUUAUAUAAUUCUUAGAUGGCAUUUUGCCCGACUGACUAUUAAUAUUAACUGUUAACACUGGACAUAAAAGAAGAAAAUAAUAUUGGCCCAACAUGGAAUUCACAUUGGAUUCAUGUGACUUCAUGAAGAAAAGAGCCAAGGAGUACAAAAAUGCAGUUUAAAAUUAUGUGUUCAAAACACAAAAUUAAAAAAAUAACCCUGAAGACUACAAGAUAUGUCUUCUAAUUAUGUGUGAUUUUGUGAAAAAUUCACUUAUCCUCAUAGUUGUAAAUAUAGAGAAUAAAAAAGAACAUCACCAUCAGUGUCUUCUGCAGCACUUAAAUCAACGUUUUCCAUAAAAGCUGUAAUGGAAAUGGGAAGAAAGUGAGAAAAGGAAAU